Long non-coding RNA from Cicer arietinum (chickpea), 2627 nucleotides. RefSeq lists it as uncharacterized. NCBI's taxonomy places the organism in Eukaryota, Viridiplantae, Streptophyta, Magnoliopsida, Fabales, Fabaceae. The record is from RefSeq and is a predicted model, not a curated record.
AUUUAUAUAAAUAUACAACUUUUUGUUCCCAAUAUACCUUACAACAAGUUAUUCAUGUGAGGGUGUCUUUGAGAAGAUUUUAGCUUUAGACAAUAUAGGUCAUUCCAUGAAUGUGUCAAUCCCUUGAGCCGUAAUUAUUUGAGGUCUCAUGUUUCCUUGUCUAGAAAGGUGCACGGCCUUUUCAAGAUCAAGAAGAGAUGUCAUGUACAGGAGUUAACAUACGAGUAACAAUUUUGGGUGUGUCUAGUGGAAGAGUGGUAACGUUGAACGAAUUUCACGAAGGAGAUUCAGAAUUUGAUCUCUAAGGGUGAUAAUUUCUCUUUAUUUUAUUUAAUUAUUGAUUAUUAAUAUUUGUUUAUUAAAAACAAUUUAUAUUUGUGAAUCCAAUAAAAACAUAAUCUGUAUUUAUUGGUAAAACUCAAGGCAAUCAAUGAUUAGCAACAAUGAACUAGAUGUAAUAUAAAUUUGUAUUGAUCACGUUGAUUAUUAUUGGGAAUUUCAAACAUUUCCUCACUUAAACCUAUUCAAUCAAGUGUAAAAUUGACAUUACGUGUAAAAAUAAAUCAAAUUGAUCAUAAGAGUCUAAAAUGUAGUCUAUGUUAAGUCUGAAUUAGAUUAUACUUUAAAAAAAAUUGACAAAAAAAAUUAUUUAAUAUUUCUUUGUUUACCAAGUGGAUAUGAAGGUUCCUUGGAUUUUAUGACAAUUAAUAUGUGCAACCACAAGAACAUUGGAUAUAGUCUAAAUUAGGAAUGUCCUAAAAAAAUUUAUAAUAUAUAUGAAGCUUUAAAAAUUGUAUUGAUGUCUUAAUUUUGUAUACUGACCAUUUUAUCAUUUUAUAUUUACAUUUUAUGUCCUGAAUAAAUAUCUAAUUUGAAGAAAGACUAUUUUCUCUCUAUGUUCGCUCUAGACAGAUACUAAACAUAAUUUCUCUAAAUUCUCCUCUCCUCUCCACGCCCCAUUGAGUAUGUGACAGCGGCUUAAUGGUAGGAUUUUGUGAUUUAAUUAUUUUAAGAAUUUAAUUUGUUUGAAAUAGAUGAUUAACUGAAUUGCUAAUUUUAGGAACUCAAUAUCUAUAAGGGUUUAAUAUGAUGUUAUUUUAUUAGAAUUUAGUAACUCAUGACCGAUUUGGUGAUUUACAAUGAUACAAAUAGAUCGUUUGCUGGUAAUCUAUUAGAUCGUUUGUCAGUAAAAGUUGCGGAGUUAAUCAUUAGCUCACACAAUUGUGAGAAAUUCUAGAUUUUUUCUUAUUAUGCCUCAUAAGAUUAGAAAGUAUGACUCUAGAUAUGACAAGUGUAUGAAAAAGAAAAAAAACUUGGAAGAUUUAACUAAAUCUCAAGCAGGAGCUCUUGAUAAUUUUUUUAUCAAAGAACCACUAAUUUUCGUUGAAAAUCAUAAUGUUGAUGUUAAAAUUCUUGAUAAUGCGUCCAUUGAAAAUGAUGAUGUUGACAAUGUUCAUUGUAAUGAUGGUCAUGAUUUUAAUUUGAAUAAUCCACUUGAUAAUGAAGAGGACAAUGUAGAGCACAAACCCAUUUGAACAUUUGUUCAAUGUAUUUGACUAUUCUCGUGACAAUUGCUUCUACAUAAAUAAGUUUUUUAAAAUUGAAGUUGUUGAAGUUUUAUUUGCAAUCUACCAUGCUACAAAAAAGACUUGAUGGAUCAGCAUUGAUAGCAAUUAAGAAUUAUCUUUUGGAGACAAUACAAUAUGAAGACUUGCUGAUGAAUUUACUUCAAACUCCUCAAAAUGAAUUCACUUCUCUUUAGGCGGCUCAACCACUACCCACACGUCCAAAUAGUAUAUGAUCUCCAAAUCACUCCAUAGUGUCCUCCCAAGCAUUCUCAAGGAGUGAGGUGGUAUGUGACCCGCCAGCUAUAUUGUGAAAUAUUACCUUGGUUCCAGUGUGGGAGCACAUUUUUGGGGCGAUUUAUGGAUUGAUAUUUCACCAUUGUUGGAUUUAUUUCGUCGUUUUUAUUAGGUUUCUUGAAUAAAGAUACCAGUGUUUUUGAAAUUGGUUGGAGUUGGAGGUGGCUAUGUUUGUGUGGGAGGAGUGUUCAGUGAAUUGGAAACUUUUCUUUGACCAAUUUGUCCAAAAUCUAGGGAGGUGGGAUAUUUGGAUUUGGACUUAUGAUGUUCGGUUAUUGAAUUCACUUCAGUUUUUGUGGAAAUAUUAAGUGCCAUCGAAGGUGUUAAUCUUUGUGUGGAGAUUCUUACAAAAUUGUUACCAUCCUUGGAGGCUCUUGCGGUGAGGCGCAUUAAUGAUGUGUCCCAUAAUAUUUCUUGUGUUAUGUGGUUUGUGAUUGAUGGGGGCUUAUUGUUACCAUAGAGAUAACCAUUUUCUUCAAUUUAAGGGAUGUUUAAAGACAAUAUGUGGAAAGUGAGACACAUUAUUUGGUUGGCAAUUGUUUGGUCUACUCGGUUACUUCGCAAUGGUGUUAUCUUUUAAGGUAAAAGUGGGGAAUGUGAACCGUUGGUUGACAAUAUUAAAAUAGUGUUGCUACUUGGUACAGUACCAUUGCCGACGAAAUAAAACGAAACAUGCAUCACUAUGUAAGGAACCACAUAAUCAAUCAUAGGGUAAGUUGAAAAUAUAUUGAAGUCAAUCAAAAUGAUACAAGUUGCAUUCUUGCA